GAGGGUAUAGUUCAGUGGUAGAGUGCCUGCCUAGCAUGCACAAGGUCCUGGGUUCAAUCUCCAGUACUUCCA
Molecule: transfer RNA, 72 nt
Filed under: Camelus bactrianus (Bactrian camel)
Lineage: Eukaryota; Metazoa; Chordata; Mammalia; Artiodactyla; Camelidae
Also listed under: 2 other names
Rfam family: tRNA
About the family: Transfer RNA (tRNA) molecules are approximately 80 nucleotides in length. Their secondary structure includes four short double-helical elements and three loops (D, anti-codon, and T loops).
Source: Rfam by way of RNAcentral